Molecule: ribosomal RNA, 407 nt
Filed under: uncultured bacterium
Lineage: Bacteria
Description: partial 16S ribosomal RNA
Rfam family: Bacterial small subunit ribosomal RNA
Source: RNAcentral
AUUGAACGCUGGCGGCAGGCCUAACACAUGCAAGUCGAGCGGAGCGACGGACGGGUGGGUAAUGCCUAGGAAUCUGCCUGGUAGUUGGGGAUAACGUCCUGCAACGAGCGGUAAUAUCUCAUACUAUCAGAUGAGCCUAGCUGGGAUUAGCUAGGUGGUGGGGUAAAGGCCUACCAAGGCGACGAUCCGUAACUGGUCUGAGAGGAUGAUCAGUCACACUGGAACUGAGACACGGGCCAGACUCCUACGGGAGGCAGCAGUGGGGAAUAUUGGACAAUGGGCGAAAGCCUGAUCCAGCCAUGCCGCGUGUGUGAAGAAGGUCUUAGGAUUGUAAAGCACUUUAAGUUGGGAGGCGUUACCAACAGAAUAAGCACCGGCUAACUUCGUGCCAGCAGCCGCGGUAAUUC